CUCUUUACAGCUGGCUUUGAAUAAGAUCUUUUCCAUUCUCAUCAAAAAUACAUAAGUGGCCUCCAGUGCUUUGUUUGGUUAGAGUCUAGCAAAGAGAUAUGAGCAUAAAGACCUGAGGAGCAGCAGGCAACAUCACCAUUCCUAGGAUGGCUCUGGCCAUCCCUUGCCAAAUUAAUUUCUAUUUGCUUAGGAUCAUCAAGAUAUCCUGUUUUCUUUCAUUCCAUUCUAUGUAGAAUAGGGAAAACUAAAGAAAACUAUGCAGGUGGUGAGAGAGUUCUGAAGAGAACCUGUGCCUGCAUUUGAGCCAAUUCCAACUACCAAAAAGAUAUGGCACAAGAAGUUUGAAACCAUCUCCUGGGAGCUGUGGGGUAGAGAGAGGCCACUUUCCAGGUGUUCGAAACUAUGGAGGUGCUACAAACUAACAUGGAAGGUGAAAGAAGAGAAACAAAGAUAACCAUUUUCCUUUCCUGGCCAGAGCAGACAGAUACUAUGAAGAGUUCCUGACAGGAAGAAG
Heterocephalus glaber (naked mole-rat) is the source of this 514-nucleotide long non-coding RNA. The record is from Ensembl. Lineage: Eukaryota; Metazoa; Chordata; Mammalia; Rodentia; Bathyergidae.